RNAcentral lists this ribosomal RNA (468 nucleotides) under uncultured bacterium. RNAcentral's name for it is "partial 16S ribosomal RNA". It matches the Rfam family "Bacterial small subunit ribosomal RNA", at positions 28 to 507 of the family's 1533-position model. The record is from RNAcentral.
GACGAACGCUGGCGGCGUGCUUAACACAUGCAAGUCGAACGGAAAGGCCCUGCUUUUGUGGGGUGCUCGAGUGGCGAACGGGUGAGUAACACGUGAGUAACCUGCCCUUGACUUUGGGAUAACUUCAGGAAACUGGGGCCAAUACCGGAUAGGAGCUCCUGCUGCAUGGUGGGGGUUGGAAAGUUUCGGCGGUUAGGGAUGGACUCGCGGCUUAUCAGCUUGUUGGUGGGGUAGUGGCUUACCAAGGCUUUGACGGGUAGCCGGCCUGAGAGGGUGACCGGCCACAUUGGGACUGAGAUACGGCCCAGACUCCUACGGGAGGCAGCAGUGGGGAAUAUUGCACAAUGGGCGGAGGCCUGAUGCAGCAACGCCGCGUGCGGGAUGACGGCCUUCGGGUUGUAAACCGCUUUCGCCUGUGACGAAGCGUGAGUGACGGUAAUGGGUAAAGAAGCACCGGCUAACUACGUG